Molecule: long non-coding RNA, 351 nt
Organism: Ceratina calcarata
Lineage: Eukaryota; Metazoa; Arthropoda; Insecta; Hymenoptera; Apidae
Exons: 2
Source: RefSeq, a predicted model, not a curated record
CCCAGAAAGGUCCAAAACCAAAUCCUAUAAAUUGCAGUAAAAAAUGGAAAAUAUUAAAGUGGAAGAGUUAAAGUGAAAAUCGGAUGGAUUACGCAAUAUCGAGAAUGUUAUCAUUAAAUCAUUAAUUAUGAAGUUUGCACAUAUUUAAAUGGCCUGGGCGAUAGAGGAUUAAGAGCUGCAUGAAAAUUAAAAGUAAAGCGAGGUCUUUCUUCUAAUCUAUGGUAUAUAUUUGAAAUUCAAUCAUUUGUGCAGUAUGAAAGAUUUGUAAUAGAUACUGUACAAGGAUGAAAACAAUUUUAUGCAUUAUUUACACGUACAUGCCUACAAAAGAAAUAAAACGCUUUUACAAAA